Molecule: long non-coding RNA, 1184 nt
Organism: Oncorhynchus tshawytscha (Chinook salmon)
Lineage: Eukaryota; Metazoa; Chordata; Actinopteri; Salmoniformes; Salmonidae
Source: Ensembl
AUGUAGACGUAGUUUCAGGCCUUUAUUUUGAAGAAUGAGCUUAAACGUCCACAUUGCGUAAGUGGUCAGCUGUUGGCUCUCAGUUUGAUUUUUGUGCAAAAGAGAGAGGCGGCCAUUUUUCCUCCCGGUCCUAGUGAAAAGCCAACUGUCCCGGUUGAUAUAUUAUCGAAUAGAUAUUUGAAAAAACACCUUGAGGAUUGAUUAUAAAAAAUGUUUGCCAUGUUUCUCUCAAUAUCAUGGAUAUAAUUUGGAAUUUUUGUCUGCGUUGUCAUGACAGCUAUUUCCGGUGGAUUCCUAGGCAUAACGCAUCAAACUAACGGAGGUAUUUGGAUAUAAAAAAUACCUUUAUGGAACAAAAGGAACAUUUGCUGUCUAACUGGGAGUCUCAAGAGUGAAAACAUCCGAAGCUCAUCAAAGUCAAAGAAUGUGGAAUCAUUGAUUCAUAUGAAGGCUUGAAGGCAGUUGCAAUCACAUCACAAUUGUCCAGUGUGAUUUGAUAGCUGGGGUGAGAAUGAUGUGUGGCAUGUGAAGUGUUCAGUCGAGGAUUGUCCACACACACACACACACACACACACACACAGACACAGACACACAGACACAGACACACAGACACAGACACAGACACAGACACAGACACAGACACAGACACACACACAGAUACACACAGACACAGACACAGACACAGACACACAGACACAGACACACACACACACACACACACAGACACACACACACACACACACACACAGACACACACACACACACACACACACUAGUCAUAUCUCAGCUAUAAGUGCCUGUGUCUUAGGUUUGAUAUAGUGACUGAUUAGAGCCAACAGUGUAGCUAACAGAACUCUGGUGGACAGAAAACUUUCCGUAUGUUCACCAACUUUUGAUCCCCGGGCUGCAUCAUUGCCUCUAGUCAGGCUGGGAAUUGCCAAGGACCUCACAAUGCAGUAUUAUCAUGAUACGUAGGUGUCGAUACGAUAUAUAUUGUGAUUCUCACAAUUUUAUUUUGUUUUGCGAUUCAAUACUGUGAUUUUACUGCGAUUCGUGUGUUCCAAACAUAUUGUUCACCGUAUAUCUGAGAAAAUUUGUGUUGGUGAGGCAUGGAAAAAAAAGUGCUGUAAACUAAUGGGCUCCUAAUUUUUAAAUUCUUCAUGCCCUAAGAUCAAAAGAUCUAC